This 467-nucleotide ribosomal RNA is filed under the name uncultured bacterium. RNAcentral's name for it is "partial 16S ribosomal RNA". It matches the Rfam family "Bacterial small subunit ribosomal RNA", at positions 29 to 507 of the family's 1533-position model. The record is from RNAcentral.
ACGAACGCUGGCGGCGUGCUUAACACAUGCAAGUCGCACGGAAAGGCCCUGCUUUUGUGGGGUGCUCGAGUGGCGAACGGGUGAGUAACACGUGAGUAACCUGCCCUUGACUUUGGGAUAACUUCAGGAAACUGGGGCUAAUACCGGAUAGGAGCUCCUGCUGCAUGGUGGGGGUUGGAAAGUUUCGGCGGUUGGGGAUGGACUCGCGGCUUAUCAGCUUGUUGGUGGGGUAGUGGCUUACCAAGGCUUUGACGGGUAGUCGGCCUGAGAGGGUGACCGGCCACAUUGGGACUGAGAUACGGCCCAGACUCCUACGGGAGGCAGCAGUGGGGAAUAUUGCACAAUGGGCGGAAGCCUGAUGCAGCAACGCCGCGUGCGGGAUGACGGCCUUCGGGUUGUAAACCGCUUUCGCCUGUGACGAAGCGUGAGUGACGGUAAUGGGUAAAGAAGCACCGGCUAACUACGUG